GGACCGAGAGAUGAUGAUCGAGCAACUGAUGUGGUGCCAACCACAAGACACAGUUGGUGGACGACCUGAGGAAUGGACUUAACCAGUGGAUGCUCGCCAAGCGAGUGCCACCCAGCAAACACUAUCCAAGUGUUAAAUUAAAGGCAAGCCCCGGUUUUAUGCAUAACCGUUUAUAUAUGCUAUUUUACUACACUUAAUGAUUGUAGGCUUGUACUGUGCACUUAAGUGUAGGAGUUGUCUGAAAACCCUAGUUGCAUGAACUCAGGAUUCCUUUUGAGAUGGAUACUAGUAUGCUAGGUCGAGUAGCUGCUUUACUAAUUAGGGAUCUCGGUAGAAGUCGAGUGAUUUUUCUAGCACUCGCGCGAGGUCAGGAAUUGGUUGUAUCCACUUUGAUAACAGAAUGGUGAUGGUCUGUGGACACGAGUCCAUGGGGACGCGUGGUCUACGAGAUGAAAAUUGGAAUAAGGAUUAACGUGCGGAUACCUGUGUCAAGCGUUUGAACAUACUAAACACAUGCCGAGAAAUAUGGUAAAUCGGUAAGCCUAGUACCUGAGUGAACCUGCCCGCAGACUUUACCCCUCACGCGACCUGAGACGUGGUCUCCCAUUCCGGUUAUGGUGGGUACAAGUGCGGUCACUGCACGACGGCAGUCGGGGUCAGUGAGGCAUUGUACGCCAAGGCGGUGAGCCCUGAUCUGUUGCCAGGGAAUCGAUGGGGACGGUUGAUGUGUGUGGGGACGGAGUGCCCCUACAUGUCGUGUGUUUAGGUUUACCUUGCAAGGAUAAAAACUCGAUUCGAAUCGUCUGCUUCUCGCAGCUAAUGAGACUGCUUGAUCCAUUGUACUGCAUUGAGUAAUAAGUGGAAAUGAGUUGACGGGCAAAAGAUGUUGAUUUGUAAAAAUGUUUGAUACCAUGUAUGACUAGUUUGGUACACAUCUAGUAAAAAGGAGCAUACUAAAACUUGAAAAAGCUAAAACAUGAUUUUAGACUCAGCUAGUGCUUUUGGCAAACCAAACCCCUCAGCCAAACAGCUGCAUGUCUAGAGGUAGAGGAGUAGACUCCUCACACCGGGUAAGUCUAGCUGAGUAUUAGUAUACUCAGCCUUGCUUGUGGCACAAUUUUUGCAGGUACUCCUUAGGAUGAUUGGUUGAUGGUGUGACUUGGCCUCCAUCCCUGCCACCGGGAUAGACGGUCGAGUGGGUUAUUGCUUCCGC
Molecule: long non-coding RNA, 1213 nt
Filed under: Zea mays
Lineage: Eukaryota; Viridiplantae; Streptophyta; Magnoliopsida; Poales; Poaceae
Description: long non-coding RNA (ZMAY_LNC004289)
Source: RNAcentral